AAAUUGAAUUCUCCCUCAAGUUUAGGCAUGACUGUUAUGAAUUAAGAUUUGCUCUAAACCUGAACUUGUGGGAAGAGUACUUGAUCUAAAGUCUAAGUCGUUAACGGAUAUGAUAUGGGAAGGUUGAGCUGCUAUUUAUCUACUCCUAGAGAUGCUAGAAUUCUGGAGAAUUUUAUCUUUGAAAAUCUUUAAAAUGUUGCAUGAUGAGUUCCUCUAUGAUGAGAGUUUAAAAUCCUACCAUAGCCAUAUAUACAUGCUUAUUAGACUAUGAACCAUACAUUUACUUUUUACUGCUUAUGAGCAUUGAGUGUGGUCAAGCUGUGUAGACCCUUAGGAGUUUGUCAUGUGGUUAAAAUCAAGAUUCACUUGCACGUUCACUCAUACAUGCUGCUUCUACUCCGGAAGUAUGCAUCCACAUACAUCCACUCCUUUCCAUCUCAAGAUUCACCCAAAAUUAUUCUACACCUAAUCCGGGAGAGAAUAGCCAAAAACAUUCUCCUAUUUCUAUUUUUCUCUAUGAAAUAAAUGCUCGAGAUAUUUUGGUUACUACCACUUGCUACAUUAUUCUAGGAGGGUGAGUGCUCUGAAAAAAAGUGAAUACGAGGAAAUAAAAAGGGGCAAGUGCCCGGAACCUCGAAGAAAAGAAAAAGUGAGACGAGAGGUAAAAAUGGACAAGUGUCCGAGAGUAGAAUUAGGGGUGCAAGAUACCCACCUGAGAGAAAAGAAAAAGAAAAUAUAGAGCAUCUCAUUCCCCUCAAAAUGUUUCAAAGUGCAAGAAAGGUAUGUAUCCCCUCAAAAGAGCAAAAGUAGAAUUAGACUUUCACCAUUGUUUUCACCAUUAUCACCAUCAUCACCAUACACCAUUCAUUCACCACACAUGCACAUCUUGAUUUGACUUAUUGACUUGUUUCUCUGGAUCCAUGGUUUGACUAUGCAAUAAAUGUCUUGUAAGUAUGUAUUAGCUAUCUCCCACCUAUGAGCUCCAAAUAUCAAAACCUUAUUAGAGUAGGGUGAGAGAGAAGGCAAUGUCACUAUGCCUCAUACCAAAAAUACCACAUACUUCGAGAGAAGGCAUAUACCAUCACUGCCUUGGUGAGGAUCCAGAAAUACCACAAAAGAGAGAAUUGAUAGAGUCAUACAAGGAAUCUCUGAGUUUUAUUUGAAAAUCUGCAAAAACUCCAGAGCUAUAGUUGAUCAAGAACAAGAGACAUGGUGCUUGACUUGACCAUUCUAUCUUUGAACUGCUCAAGACAUAAGUGACGGUUGCAAGCCCCAUGGUGAAAGGUAAAAUGAGUAAGUGUUAAGUCUUAACAGUUUACCCUAACCUAGAGAUGAGAUCUUGUUUGAACACAUGCAUACCUUUAAGGCAUGAAACCACUGCGGAAACUCUUGAGUCCAUCCUUGCUCAGGGACGAGCAAGUGGUAAGCUUGGGGGAGUUAUUGACGGUCGUUAAGUACCAAAUAUAAUCAUCAAACAAAUAAAGAAAAGGAUCCAAAUACAACCAACACCCAAACUUAGGGUUUUAUCUGAUAGAAUUCCACGAGUUUUGGUGUUUGUCUAUUUCUACAGGGGGUUAUCAGGAAAUAUGGAGGAAAAGCCCACAUGUCUGGUUUACAUAGAGAUAUUAAUGUGCCGCGCAAUUUUCUAUCAUUUAGAAGACUCCAGAAGCCAUGGGAACGAACAGGAAGGUGAUCGGGCCCGGGGGCAGGGUGCCCGCCAUCCACCCUAGGGCGCCCGCCCCGAGUUAGAGUCCAAUCAGGACCUGUCUCACGGAUUACGCUCUACCAACCUAAAGGAUCAAGGAUAACUGUUCAAUCAAUGUUGAUUUGAUCCGACGGCCCAGAUUCACUUGAGGGGACUAUAUAAGCAGACCCCCUGGCCCCUGGAGAAGAACAAGUUCAUUGUAGAGUUGAGAGGUGCCCUCAAAGGAUAACCUUUCCUCUACAUAGACAGAGCAAAAGCUAGGGUUUGGAGAUGUGAGCUCUCCUCUCAUCUCUAAACUAGAAUAGAUCUAGAUAGUAGCGAGAUGGAGAGUGAGGGAGGAUGGAGGAGAGGACGGCCUGUCGGUUCUUCCUCCGGUUGUACUUCGCCAUGAUCAAGUUCUAAUCAAGCUUGCUCAUGGGAUGACUCUGGUAAUCUACUUCUAUUUCAUUAUGAAAUUACUAUUCAUGUAUGCUCUGGUUCACAACUCUUUUGAAUACUUUUAAUCUAUAGGACCCUAUAGGUUAGAGUUGUAGUAUAGGUGUAAGCGUGGUGCUUAGACCUAGAUUACUUGUGGAUAUCCCAUGUCCAGCUGGAUCGUGUGGUAGGCCGCGUAGGUGACAGUUACGUUGGUCCCCUGUAGUCCACCUCCUGUUAGCAGGACGGGUAGGGUUUAUCGGCCUAUGGAUAAGCAUCCUUUGUGGUGUAUUCUUAUCACGUGGUUUGUCCCAGACAUAGACAUACCCCUUUGAAGUAGAGAAACCAUAGUUAUCCUCUCUAUUCUCCUACCAUCGCCCAUAUACUAGAUUGCUCUACUCUCUGUUCCCAUAUUAUCGCCCAUUGUUAUCUUACCUUUAAUAUUGUUCUUAUUCAAUUCUACCAUCUUUCCUAUCUACACCUAUCUAUCUAUCUUGGUUAAGUUAGAGCGUAGUUGGUUCUCCCGUUUCCCUGUGGAUACGAUAAAACCUUUAACCGGGUAAAAGCUACAAUGGUAUCCGUGCGCUUGCGGAUUUAUCUAUGUGCGUAUAAAUACCAUAGUACACUCUAGUGCCAUGCUGGGGAUGACAACCUAGUAUUCAAGUGGUGUUAGCAAGUGUCAACAGAGGGGGCCAGCAAGAUGUCCCUGGCGAUUGUUUUAGAGCAAUGGUUGUUGACGAUGAAUUUGUUGCCCUACAGAUAUGUUGUUCUGCGUGUGACCUGCAUUGGGUUGAAUGUAGGAGUGAGGAUAUUUGCACAAAUUUUCUUUGAAAUUCAGUGGUUACAUUUUCUACAGAGAACGAAUCAUGCUCCUUCCCUUCCAGCAAAUGUAAAUGGAAUUAGUGUGAUUAGAUUUGCCUUGUUUUGCUUGGAGACGUUUGUGUUCUCUAUUUUGAUGGUAUUAGCUAAAUUGUUUAUGUUAUCUCUUGGUACUGUUACACAUAGCACUAGUACACAAAAAUACGAAAUCGGUUUUUAAAAAUAGGAAAAAAGAUUUUAAUACAGGGAAGGCCCAUUGUCGAGAGCGUCGAGGUGACAUAAUUGGUGCAAUUCUUCGAACUGGACGUAUAUAAGGUCAUCUCCACAGAAGUAGUGAUGUUGUCUAAUAUGAACAGAAAUCCAAUUAUCUUCCCUUUAGACGCCUCCAUGCACCACUUGUUUAUUGCAAACAUCUGUGUGCCGAGCUCAUGUAAACGCUGAGGGUUGAAUAGACUCCUGCCCGGUUCAUAUCUUGCUAUCCAUUGAUCAACUACCUCAGCUUUUUCAAAUGUUUGACAUCCAAUAAUGGUGGCAAUGUCUUCAAUAUUUAAACCGCUCUGUCCAAAGUAAUGCUCAAGUGAAUCUAGCUCAGACAACGCUAAGGAUUUCUUUGGCAUCAAGUCUUCAUUUGAGCCGUAUUGAUUUGGCACAAUCAAAGGGGGCACCGGUUUUGAUACUUCUCCGAGCUGUGGGACCCCCUUUCCUACUCUCUUUCUAGGCUGUGAAGACUUGAUGUUGGUAUUUCUUAGCGAUGCAACCAAUUAUCCGCAAGCGCACGGAAGUACCAUUGUAGCACUUCACCCGGUGGUAUUCAGGGUAUCGAGAUUUCACAGGGAACAGAGGUGUUUUGAGACUUAAACUAAGUGUACCCUAGAGUAAAGUGAGAGGGAUGACAUAGGUAGUGAGGUUCUCCUAAUGGUAGAAGUUUUGUGCAAGGCAACGUGCUUUUCUAAUCUUACUUCGGGCACCGGAGCGUACCUAGUCUGCUAGGUAAUACCGGCGUGUAGCUCAACGCCGUAUCCGGACGUGGGGGAAACUAAGGACAAAUAGGGCUGUCACCACCUGCUGCCGACCCCUCAACCGUGGGAUACGAGGCAAACGAGGGUAACCUCUAACCUAGACACCACGUCUACGUUAUUAGCUACUACUCUAGCGUUGCGCAGGUCCUCCCGCCAGCCAGCAAGAGUCCCUCUACUAGAGUAUCGACCGAGAGAUAGACAACGAACCCGCAAGAUUAUAAGAACACGAUAACGAUUACUCAAUAACUUCUUAGAACAAAAGAAGAAUACAAUCUUUUCUUACCCCAAUAUGGUAUUCCAGGUGGUAGAGGUACAGCUCGGAAAGCGGGCAGCACUUCGGCCCUUCCGCCCAGUGCAACUAGUGGAACGGACCGGGUGCUUGCUACUUCUCUUACUCUACACUCUAACUCACUCUCCUAUUCUAUUCCUAACUAGAGGCUAAGGAUAUGAGUGGAAGCUCCGCCUCUCUACUACUACUCUUGUAUCUCUCUUUAUUCUUGUGGACUUGAAGCUUGAAUGGAUUGAAUGAUGACAGGCCCUCUCCCCCUUCUUGUAUAGGUGUGGAAGGUCGGUUUGGGAGGGGGUAAACUGCAAAAUGCAGCUGGGAACCGCGCUAGGGCUUCGCAUGCACCGCCUCUGCAAAAGGCGAUGGGGAGCUGGGCCAGGCCGGGGUCGGCCGACCCUAGGGGGCGGCCGCCCCCUGGCUGGCUCCGUUGGCCCAGGCCCAAAGCCCAGACGAUGCUCCUCAGCCUUCUGAGUUUGAAUCCAAUUGCAUUUCGAUGCACUUCUGUAUUUGAAUGAAAUGUGCCUUCAAUUCUUUGAUUUUGGUGGCUCAAACCCUAGUGUCCUGCAUACACAUGUGUUCACCAAAACUGUGGAAUUUGGUCAGCAUAAAAACCCAUAUUUCUAAUGUUUGGUGAUAUUUUAUAGAGUUUGUAUGCAUGUUGGCGGUAUGAAAAGUGUAUUUUAAGAAACGCCAACACUUGACUAGAGACCGCUCAUAGUCCGAAAGUGCUGGCUUUUUUUUUAGCUUCCUGCUGCUUCUUUUGCUGGUCCGCCACCUUCUUCCUCAGUUCCUCUGGCUUUACAUAAAAGUAUGGCUUUUCUAGGUUUAGCCGCUUUUCCUUUCCUCCUUCAAUUUAUCAAAAAAUUCUUUCACCUCUGCUUUGGACGUAGCAAUUACGUCCUAUUCAAUCUUUUCAUAAGGUAAUUUCUCCGAUGUCUUAGCUUUCUUUGCUGAGGCAACCUUCUUUGGAGGUGGGACCGAUGACUUCGGUCGUUCUUGGGUGACCGCUUCUGAGUACCUCGCUUUGGAGGCGAUGGGACCGAUCGUGUACUCUUUGGAGAGGGCGGUGUAGGCGGUGGAGGUGGUGGGGCCGAUCUUUUUGGUGUUGGAGAACGCGGUGGAGGAGUUGGAGACCUCGGUGGAGGAGGUGGAGACCGUGGUGGAGUCGGUGGCGGGGUCGGUGUGGCCGCCGCAGGUGUUGGAGGAGAUCCAGCAUUGUCACCGCCCGUAGCUCUAUGAUGCGCUGGGGAAAGAACUGGACUUAGGUUGGAGGAGUCCCUGCAAAGAAAACAAUUACAAGUUUUGUGAGUAAAUUUUUUUUAAAUUCAAUACAUAUUAAAUAAUAUAAGAAGUAAAAUCACGCACAAACCUAUGGCGAGGAAUAAUUAUGAAGCGCUUGCGCCAACAAAUAAACGUCUUCUCAGCUUCACCUAAGGUCUUCUCUCCGUCUCCCCCUUCUAUCUGACAAAAUUCUACGAGUUUUGGUGUUUGUCUAUUUCUGCAGGGGGUUAUCAGGAAAUACGGAGGAAAGGCCCACACGUCGGGUUUACAUAGAGACAUUAACGUGCCGCGCAAUUUUCUAUCAUCUAGAAGACUCUAUAAGCCACGGGAACAAAGCGGAGGCAGACCGGGGCCUGGCCCAGGGCGCCCGCCCUAGAGACCAGGGCGCCCGCCCACCUUCUGUGCCCAAUCAGGGUCAACUUUGCGGAUCGUGCUCCACCGACCUAAGGGAUCAAGGAAAACUGUGCGAUUAAUGUCGGUUUGAUCUGACAGCCCAGAUUCAUCUGAAAAGACUAUAUAAGCAAGGCCCCCUGGCCCCUGGAGAACAUACCUCUUCUACAGAAUCAAAGCUAGGGUUUCAAAUCUUCAUCCAAGUAGAGAGGAUCCCUCUAGUUCAUCUAGUUCUAGUUCUAGAUCCUCUAGUUCUAGUUCUAGUUAGUUCUAGUUGUAAUCUAGAAAAUAGAGAGAAAGAAGAGGAGAGCGGGGGAGGAGCCAGGUCUGUCGGAUCUUCCUCAACAUUGUACUUUUGUAGCAACUGGUUCGUUCUUCAUCGUUCUCUAGGUUCUUCAAUUCAUAAUUCCUAAGUUCUUUAAUUACUUUUAUUUACAUUCAAGUUAUUUAUUGGAUUCCCCCUUGCAUCAAGUGCUCUAGUCUUUAUAACGUUAGAGUAGUAAUUAAUAGAUUAGACGUGGUGUUUAGUCUUGCAAUUACCUAGAAUUGCACCCAAUACUGCGGAUUGUUGUGGUAGCCCUAGGGUAGUGACAGCCCUAACGGUCGACGUAUUCCACCUCGUUCGGAUCGGUGUUUGUAGGACCGUAGUCAGAGCUUCCAAGCCCCCAUCUCAUCUCUUUCUAUGGUUAGUGUUCUGAUGUCCUGAAAUAAAUAAUCUUUGAAGUAAUUCUUGAUUCUUAGAUCAACUAGAGAACUCUCAGAAAACUUCCUCUCUUCCCACCAAAAAUAAUUAUAUAGUUAUCCUUGGGCGAUCUUGAAUCUUAAUUAGUACACUCACGUUCCCUGUGGAAAAUCGAUACUCUAGAAUACUCCCGGGUGAAGGCUACAUCGGUAUCUGUGCGCUUGAGGAUUUUUCUGUUUUUUCGUUUAAAAUACCCAACAAGCUUUCUGGCGCCGUUGCCGGGGAACGGUAGCUGUGCUAGUUUCAAACCAAGUCGUUCGUGUAUCCUUUUUCUUUUCCUUUUUUACCACACUCACGUUACCAUUUUCACCACACCACAUGGAUUUCACUCCAACCAUUAAUGAGCAUGGAAUUUAUUUCAUAGCGACUUCAUUUACUCCAUGCUCAUAUGUAACAUCUUCCCAAUCCAUUGGUCUCUCCAACAUCACCACAUUCGAGAUCUCCAACCCCCUCUUCCUUUCUAUUUAUAAAAACUUUAAAAGGGCGGUUGUCGAUGCAUAUGUCUAUUUUAAAUAUUGCAGAUCUCAUUGAGUUGAUCUUGAUAUAGGUCAGCAUUGGAGGGGAAACCACUUCGCCGACAUAAAUUGAUGGUUUCCCAAGGACAAGUUUAGUGUCCUAAAAUAAGCACUGAUCAGAUCGUAACAUGAGCUUUUAAUUAUUUGCAACAUUACCUUGUGUAUUGAGGAUAUUAGGAUAAUUGUGAAAAAUUCCUUCGGGUAUUCUUGUCACUAACCUUUCUAGGAUUAGAGCAAGAAGAUCGGAUGAAUGACAAGCACAAGGUAUGUCCAACCAAUCAUCAUACAACAUUGAAUUAAAUACAUCCAAACUUGAAUUUUGCAAAAUUCAAGCUUUAGGGAGUACUUUACAUAAAAACAUCCCUUGUUAUGUUGCUAUGUUGGUUGUUCCUACCUUUGAGACAUGCUCAAUUUGUUAAAUACUAAUCACACUACUUCAUCUCCACUUGAGUAGAACUCUAUAAAUGCUCUCAUGCUACCUUUAUUUGCUUUAGUAUAUGUCUAGGUUUGGAGUAGUUUCAUUUAUCUCUUAAUUAAGCAUGGUGCUUAGUUAGGAAUGUUGAUCUUACUUCCAAGGGAUUUUAAAUUACGCAUGGUGCUUAGGUUAAAAUGCCCUCCUAAAUCAAAUUAGACAUGGUGUCUAGGUUGAUCUUUGAGCCGAUAGUAUGCUAUAGUAGAGAUUGGAUAUUUUGUUGGACUCACCCCUGCAGAAAAACUUUCAAUAUCGACCUGGGAAGUCCUGAGAUAAAGUCACAUUAGAGACAAAGAGAGAGACGCAUGAAGGUUAACAAUUUACACAAGGAAGGCAUAGCUCACAAGAGAUGAUCCAUGGAGGGUGCCACAAACACGAUGCACAACCGCUAAGAAAGGAAAGCUUCCACAAGGUGAUACUGUACCAUCACUCUUCAAGUAAGGUAACAUCUUAAGGUACUUGACUAUCAUUUUUAUAAGCUUCUCCUUGGUUCUGACAUUCACAUGGAUAAAAGAGACAAACAUGUAUCAUUUACAACUCUAGAUUAACCAACCCAAUCGAUUCAAUAUGUUUAGUCCUUCCACCGUUGUGAUCCCACACUCCUAAUCAUACGAGCUAAAAUGUUGCACACGUAAUCUUUAGAAGAUAUAUAAAAAACAACAUAAAAAUAGAUAGAUUAUCUUUCCAUUAGGUUGAGUGAUCUGAUCUAACAAAUGUUUUAAAUGCUACACUCAUGAUCUUAUUAUCCAUCAACUUUGUCUUGCUCACUAUGCUUAAGGUUAGAGAAGAACAAAUACACUUUUGGUUCUGUUGGUGUUUUCUGCCAACAGGGCCCAUGCACUUGAUCUCUGCCUUGUCUCUAUGAGCAGGUACACUUCGAACAAAAUAUGAAGGACUUUUACAACUCCUAGACUCCACCAAGUGAAGAAUCUAGAUCUACGAGCACAAACACACUAGAGAUACUGGACACUCAGGCAAUCACUGCCCUGAGAUGCUUGAGGACUUAAACUACACCAACAACAACAACAAUAACAACAACAACAACUACUACUACAACCGUCCUCAACAAAAUCAAGAGAGGCGAUCCAAGACGCCCCGUCAUCCCGAUCUCCAUCGGCAUGGUGGACUUCCCAGAAGCACUCUGCAACUUUGGCUCCAGCGUCAACAUUAUGCCCAGGGUACUCUAUGAAAAAUUCUUUACACAUCCUUUAUGAGAAACAACUAUGUAUUUGCAGCUUGCAGAUCGAACACUAAGUUUCCCAAAGGGAAUAUUGAAGAACCUCUACGUCUGAGUUGGUACCUUAUACGCUCCAGCAGACUUCGUGGUGAUAGAGACUGAUACUGAUGAGAGGGCACCCAUCAUCCUAGGGAGGCCAUUCCUGAACACCUCGGGAGCUGUCAUCUACGCUAGUGCUGCCAAGAUUAGUGUCUACAUCAAGGGGAAGAAGGAGACGUUUUCCUUUGAGAACAAGAUUACACAAAUCUCAGAGCAAUCUCGACAUGAACCAAGGAAGAGGAACAACAGGAGGAACAAGCAAAUGUGGACCGAGUCAGCUAAGAUGGUCACUGUAGUUCAAGGAGGUCAAGAUCGUCGACUUAAAUCACCGUUCCUGGCCAAAAAGGACGACUCAGGUAUCCCAAGCAUCCAGUGCUCCAUUAAUGGAUACAACUUCUAGAAGACGCUUUGCGACACCGGGUCAACCGUCAACAUAAUGGCCGCAGUCACCUAUCUGCUCCUGUUUGGAACCAUGCCCCUAAAAUCGACAUACAUUCAGCUCCAGAUGGCAGAUCAAACAUUCCGAAAGGUUGAAGGUAUAGUAACUAAUGUCCCUGUCAAAAUAGAUGAUCAUUCAGGUUAUUGACAUGGGAGAAGACGAGUACGAUCCACCCAUCAUCCUUGGGAGACCGUUCCAGAGCACCGUUAAAGCAAUCAUCUACAUUGGAACCAGAGAAGUCCACAUGCACUUCCCCUCUGAGAAGGUACACCGCUAUUUUACUGACCCUAACUAUAUAGUUGAAGACUCUAAGCAGGUCCGGACAAGAAGAAGAUGACGCAACCGCAACCAGAGGAGGCAAAUCAUCAAGGACGGAUGGGCAGACUACGAAGAAGAAGUGAUAAGGUCUGAAGACAUACAACUUCAAUAGAACUGUCCUGAGGAGACCGUAGCACUGAGUCAGGUGUGUAGAGAGAAGAUAGUUAUACAUGAAGAGUAGGCGCCACCGGAACCACCGACUACGCCAUCCAGCGAAUCCCAGGACGAUUGAGAAAACAGAGAGUCCCGUUCGGAGGACUUAAAAACACCGAACGCCUUGCCAAGAGGUAAACUUGGUAGUUAUCCUUUUCCUUUCAAUUAUUUAAAAUAGUUUGCUUAGUUAAUCAGGUCCAUAUCAUCUUGAAAAGAAAAUAAAAAUGUUAAAAAUAGUAAGCCCCAUAUGAGUAUGCUCAUGACAUAAAACCCAUAACUACAUUCACUAUGGUGGCAUAAACAUAAAAUAAAUAUAUUCCUGUCCUACAAAAAUGAAAAUAUAAAAAUAAAUUUAUGAUCCUACCAAAGAGAGUAAUAUUUAUUAGAGGAAGUUCAACAUGAAAAUGGCUAAGAGAUUUUAUGCUAACACUUAACCAGUUCCACAAAGCUUUGUUGUCUAUUUGAGCUCCACAGAAUUCAAGGAUCAAAGAAAACUAGCAGACGGAGGACAUCCUAAUCGUUGUCAGGGUGCUGCCGACAUUCAAAUACAACUCCGCCACCUGCUAACUACAUCAGGAGAAAUUACAUCAAAAUCCAACUUGGGGGAGAGCACCCCAAUUUAUCCAGCUAAGUGUUCUACUCAUGUUUAUACUUUACUCAAAUAAUAAAAAGAUGCAUAAUCAUAAAAACCAAAAUAAAGAUUUUGUGCUCAUAUAUCUUUGCUUAGUUUGCUAAAUAAAUAAAUAAAUAAAGUUUGCUAUGAACCCUCAUGAUAAGCUCUCACAUGGAAAUGAUGAAUAGUUGCUCUGCCAUGACUAGUUCUCAAAAUUGAAUUCUCCCUCAAGUUUAGGCAUGACUGUUAUGAAUUAAGAUUUGCUCUAAACCUGAACUUAUGGGAAGAGUACUUGAUCUAAAGUCUAAGUCGUUAACGGAUAUGAUAUGGGAAGGUUGAGCUGCUGUUUAUCUACUCCUAGAGAUGCUAGAAUUCUGGAGAAUUUUAUCUUUGAAAAUCUUUAAAAUGUUGCAUGAUGAGUUCCUCUAUGAUGAGAGUUUAAAAUCCUACCAUAGCCAUAUAUACAUGCUUAUUAGACUAUGAACCAUACAUUUACUUUUUACUGCUUAUGAGCAUUGAGUGUGGUCAAGCUGUGGACCCUUAGGAGCUUGUCAUGUGGUUAAAUCAAGAUUCACUUGCACGUUCACUCACACAUGCUGCUUCUACUCCGGAAGUACGCAUCCACAUACAUCCACCCAUUUCCAUAUCUAGAUUCACCCAAAAAUAUUCUACUCCUAAUCCAGGAGAGAAUAGCCAAAAACAUUCUCCUUUUUCUGUUUUCCCCUGUGAAAUAAAUGCUCAAGAUAUUUCGGUUACUACCACUUGCUACAUUAUUUAAGGAGGGUGAGUGCUCUGAAAAAAAAAGUGAAUACGAGGAAAUAAAAAGAGGCAAGUGCUCGAAAGCUCGAAGAAAAAAAAGUGAGACGAGAGGUAAAAAUGGACAAGUGUCGGACAGUAGAAUUAGAGGUACAGGAUACCCACCCGAGAGAAAAGAAAAAUAAAAUAUAGAGCAUCUCAUUCCCCUCAAAAGCCUCAAGUGGAAGGAAGGUAUGUACCCCAUCAAAAGAGCAAAAGUAGAAUUAGACUUUCACCAUUAUUUUCACCAUUAUCACCAUCAUCACCAUACACCAUUGAUUAGCCACACAUGGUUUGACUAUGCAAUAAAUGUCUUGUAAGUAUGUAUUAGCUGUCUCCCUCCUACGAGCUCCAGAUAUCAAAACCUUAUUAGAGUAGGGUGAGAGAGAAGGCAAUGCCACUAUGCCUCAUACCAAAAAUACCACAUACUUUGAGAGAAGGCAUACACCAUUACUGCGUUGGUAAGGAUCCAGAAAUACCAUAAAAGAGAGACUAGAGAGAGUCAUACAAGGAAUCUCUGAGUUUUAUUUGAAAAUCUGCAAAAACUCCAGAGCUAUAGUUAAUCGAAGAACAAGAGACAUGGCGCUUGACUAGACCGUUCUAUCUUUUAACUACUCAAGACACAAAUGAUGGUUGCAAGCCCCAUUUUGGAAGGUAAAAUGAGUAAGUUUAAAUCCUAACAGUUUACCCUAACUCAGGGAUGAGAUCUUGUUUAAAUGCAUCUGUACCUUUAAGGCAUGAAACCACUGUAGAAACUCUUGAAUUCAUCUUUGCUCAGGGACGGGCAAAGGUUAAGCUUCGGGGAGCAUGUUGACGGUCCAUAAUGCUCACAUUUAACCGUCAACUAAUCAUGGAAAAGGAUCCAAAUGCAACCAACACCCAGACUUAGGGUUUUAUCUAACAGAAUUCUAUGAGUUUUGGUGUUUGUCUAUUUCUGUAGGGGGUUAUCAGGAAAUACGUUGGAAAGGUCCACACGUUGGGUUUACAUAGAGACAUUAACGUGUCGCGCAAUUUUCUAUCAUCUAGAAGACUCUAGAAGCCACGGGAACAAAGCGGAGGCAAAACGGGGCCUGGCCCAGGGCGCCCACCCUAGAGACCAGGGCGCCCGCCCACCUUCUGUGCCCAAUCAGGGUCAACUUUGCGG
RNAcentral lists this long non-coding RNA (12381 nucleotides) under Sorghum bicolor (sorghum). RNAcentral describes it as "long non-coding RNA (SBIC_LNC006459)". The record is from RNAcentral. Lineage: Eukaryota; Viridiplantae; Streptophyta; Magnoliopsida; Poales; Poaceae.